CCCCUUUUCAAGUAAUGAUUUCCUAUUCCACUCCAGCAGCAGACGUGACAAACACUCUGAAUAAAAGUUUUACAAAACCCAAAAACAUUAGCAGGGAAGUCCUCCCCCUCCCUUGGGAGCAAAGUCCUUCCUCUUCCCUUUUGGGAGUAAUGGAGAGAGAUGAUUAGCAUUUUACCAUGGCCAACUUAUCUUCUCUAAUGAAGAGUUUUCAUUUAAAGCUCCAAUAUUAAGAGAACUACCAGCACAGUGCACCAUGUUUAUUUUGAAGGGAAAGGAGAUGGAAUUGGAAGUCUGGGUUGAACAUUGGCAGCUUCUUCAACUGAAGUUCCAGUGGCAAGGUCUCAGUUCCUUGGAUAACCCUACUACCCUCUCCUGGAUAUUCUCCAAUUUUAAACAUUCUUCUUAAAAUGUGGUGCCUGGUAGUGAACACGAUACCACAGAUGUUUUCUUAGUAUCAGAGAGGACUACAGAAUUAUCACCUCCUUCAUUCUGGACACUGUGCUUCUAGUAAUAAAGUCCAAAGUCAUGUUAGGAAACA
This 538-nucleotide long non-coding RNA is filed under the name Monodelphis domestica (gray short-tailed opossum). Its description in RNAcentral is "lncRNA (ENSMODG00000040717.1)". Lineage: Eukaryota; Metazoa; Chordata; Mammalia; Didelphimorphia; Didelphidae. The record is from RNAcentral.